GUUACAGCCGCCGCGGUAAUACAGAGGGUGCAAGCGUUGUUCGGAAUUAUUGGGCGUAAAGCGCGUGUAGGCGGCUUUGCAAGUCGGGUGUGAAAGCCCUCGGCUCAACCGAGGAAGUGCGCCCGAAACUGCAGAGCUUGAGUGCCGGAGAGGAUGGCGGAAUUCCCCAAGUAGAGGUGAAAUUCGUAGAUAUGGGGAGGAACACCGGUGGCGGAGGCGGCCAUCUGGACGGCAACUGACGCUGAGACGCGAAAGCGUGGGGAGCAAACAGGAUUAGAUACCCCCGUAGUCC
Molecule: ribosomal RNA, 292 nt
Filed under: uncultured bacterium
Lineage: Bacteria
Description: partial 16S ribosomal RNA
Rfam family: Bacterial small subunit ribosomal RNA
Source: RNAcentral